UUUCCCCAUUUGCUCUAGACGAUCUUUGAGAGGUUCUGGAGAAAAGCUCCUCGCGCAGGCUGCUAUGAUCCAGCAACUGGGCGACACUUUCUGUUUUCAGCCCUGACUGCUGCGUUGGAAACUGUUUGAGGCUUUUUUCUGGGGCACUGAUACUAUUAAACAAAACAACGCUUAUGACUACUAUCCAGCGACUUUUUAAAUUGUAGCUGCUGGCCUCCGAGGCUAGCUGGCUAGCGGAGCGGUGACGGAGCGGAGCCAGCUGGUCGGACAAACAGAAACGUUAGCGAACAAGCUAAUUAGCCUGAGCCCGGAUUAACGUCUUCAACCAAACAGAGCAAAGCAAGUCUGUGGGCUCACUCACCACCGGAAAACAUGAAAAUAACUGUGGAUUUUGAGGAAUGCCUGAAAGACUCCCCGCGGUUCAGAGCCACCAUAGAGGAUGUGGAGGGGGAAGUGUGCGAGUUGGAAUCCAAGCUGGACAAAAUGGUGAAGCUGUGUAUUGGGAUGAUCGAUGCUGGAAAAGCCUACAAUGCAGCCAACAAGCAGUUUGUUAACGGGAUCCGCGAGCUGGCCCAGCAGUCUGCCAAAGAUGAGGUCAUCGAGUCUAGUCUCACAAAGUUUGCAGAGAGCCUCCAGGAGAUGAUCAACUAUCACACGAUUUUAUUUGAUCAGGCCCAGAGAUCGAUCAAGACUCAACUGCAAACCUUUGUGAAAGAUGACCUUCGCAAGUUCAAAGAGGCCAAGAAACAGUUUGACAAAGUCAGCGAGGAAAAGGAGGCAGCACUUAUCAAAAACGCUCAGGCUCCCCGUAACAAACAGCAUGAAGUGGAGGAGGCAACAAACAUCCUCACCGCCACACGCAAGUGCUUCCGACACAUCGUCCUCGACUACGUCUUACAGAUAAAUGUUCUACAGUCCAAGAAAAGGUCUGAAAUCUUGAAAUCAAUGCUGUCCUUCAUGUAUGCCCAUCUGACCUUCUUCCACCAAGGUUAUGACCUCUUUAGUGAACUGCAACCGCUGAUGAAACAGCUGGGCGGACAGUUGGACCAGCUGGUGGUCGAUGCUGCCAAAGAGAAAAGGGACAUGGAGCAGAAGCACUCCACCAUCCAACAAAAGGCCGCCCUGCAGGAGGUGACAGAGGUUGACUUGUUACCAGACUGCCGCAGCUUUUGUGCCUGGAGGUCGACCUCCGAUUUUUCAACUGAUGACACCAAGCUGGAAUACAAUGUGGACGCUGACAAUGGCAUCGCCAUGGAGGGUUAUUUGUUUAAGAGGGCCAGUAAUGCCUUCAAGACGUGGAACAGACGUUGGUUCUCCAUCCAGAACAAUCAGCUAGUAUACCAGAAGAAAUUUAAGGACAACCCGACAGUCGUGGUAGAAGACCUGAGACUAUGUACAGUCAAACACUGUGAGGACAUCGAGAGACGCUUCUGUUUUGAAGUGGUUUCACCCACAAAGAGCUGCAUGAUGCAGGCAGACUCGGAGAAGCUGCGCCAGGCUUGGAUAAAAGCCGUCCAGAACAGCAUUGCCACUGCCUUUCGCGACAAGGGAGACAAUGGAGAGAAGCUGGACAGAAAGUCGUCCACGUCAACGGGGAGCCUGGACUCUGGAGGAGAGCCAAAGGAGAGGUCCCUGAAAGGGGAGAGCGCCCUGCAGAAAGUCCUGACCAUCCCCGGUAACGCCUGCUGCUGUGACUGCGGCCAGCCGGAUCCCCGCUGGGCGAGCAUCAAUCUGGGCAUCACCCUCUGUAUACAAUGCUCUGGCAUCCACAGGAGUCUGGGAGUUCAUUUCUCUAAAGUUCGAUCUUUGACUCUUGACACGUGGGAGCCAGAACUCCUCAAGUUGAUGUGUGAACUGGGAAACAAAGUGAUCAACCAGAUUUAUGAGGCUCGACGAGAAGAGCUGGGAGCCCGCAAACCACAGCCAGGAGACCCCCGACACGAGGUGGAGGCCUACAUCAAAGCCAAAUAUGUGGAUCGACGUUUUGUCCGCCGGCCCUCGGAUGAGGAGCUUCGUAACAAAGUGGUUUCUCUGAGCAAACAGGAGAAGAGGCUGAGCAGCGGAUCUGAGCAUCUGCCACCUAAAGCUCCUCCUCCUACACCAAAACUCCACCCUGGUUCUGGUGCAUCCGGGCAGCCAGCUGCUGCCAGCAGCGCGGAGGCUCGCCGCGACUCUCUCUUCUGUCCUGAUGAGCUUGACUCACUCUUCUCCUACUUUGACGCCUCCUACAAGCUGAGGAGCAUGAAAAGUGCAGACAGCGGCAUUCAGAACAGUGCUGAUGGGAGCAGAGAGAUGCUCGUCACCACAGCGCCCACUAACAGCCUGGCAGAAGCAGAAGCUGCCGAGUCUCCGCCCAUGCCCGCCCCCCUCCCCCCUCCAUCACCCUGCAAAGAGGUGCUUUUCUACGAGCCCAAAGAGUACAGCCCAGGUCUGCAGCUCUACUGGGCAUCAUGCGCCCGCAGCCUGCCAGACAUGGCCGAGGCACUGGCCCACGGAGCCGAGAUCAACUGGGUCAGCACGGAGGAGGACAAGAAAACACCGCUCAUCAUGGCUGUGCACGGGGGCUCUCUGGUCACCUGUGAGUUCCUGCUCCAAAAUGCAGCGAACGUGAACCAGCAAGAUGCUCAGGGCCGAGGUCCGCUGCACCACGCCACCAUGCUGGGGCAUACUGGGCAAGUCUGCUUAUUCUUGAAAAGGGGAGCAAACCAGAACGCUGCCGACAUCGAUGAGAAGACGCCCUUGAGCAUCGCUGUGGAGGCAGCAAAUGCAGACAUCGUCACACUGUUACGAUUGGCCAAGAUGAACGAGGAGAUGCGGGAGGCGGAGGGACCCUACAACCCAUCAGGUCAUUAUAACUCCGACAGCCCUACGGAGAUGCAGUACAGGAAGUGCAUGCAGGAGUUCAUUAGCCUGCAGCUGGAAGAAUCCGAUUAGAUGCUGCAGAGUCUGCCUGAGUUCACUUAGAUUACAUCAAACCACACAUAAAAAGGCAGUUUUUUUCUCUUAAUGAGACCUUCUGUUGACUGUAUUGACUGACAGUGAAGUCUGCAGGUGUUUCUGCUCAGUCCUGUAAGGCGCUGCGCAGCAUUAAUGUGGCAGGAUAAAAGCCAUCCAAUCUGAUCUACUGUUAGAUCUCUUCCUUUAGCACAAAACUGAAAGAGUAACUAGAUUUAUUUUUCAAGUGUAAAGUUUACAACUGUAUGUACUUGUUUCUUUUAGAGGGUUAAUUUCUAUCAGCUGUCAGGGAAUUGUUUUAACACUAAUAGUAUCUAGACUAAAACCGCUCCCAGUAUUCAGACCUGUUUCAUCAAAGCUUCUGGCAAUAAUCAAGACUUCUGAAUGACAAGAUGCGUGGUGUGUCUAUAAAUCAUUUAGUUUUAGAUCAAUUGGUUUUUUUAAUGCACCAAGGAAAAUAUGCACAUUCCUGAUGGUGGUUAUGCAACAACUUCUUUCUUCUAACUGAACACUUCUCGUUUUCAGUCUUAAUUUCCUUCAGGGCUUGUUUACUUGUUUUAUUGAUCAAACUUCUAUUCUGUUUUUACUUGCUUGGUCAGAAUAUAUAUUUUAGAGCUGUUUUCUAAAAAUAACUAUGAGCUGUAUUAUAGAUUUCCUAUUGUACCUGCUGUAAAUGAUGUUUAAUAUAUUUGCUUCUAGUCUGACGGACAGAAUGAGCAGACUGGCUUCACAGGGAUCGGCAGCGUGAGGGUUUCAGUCUUACCUGAAAGUGUUUACUUGUGUCGGUUUAGUGUGCUCGCUUGUUUGUAAUCACAUGAAAUCCUAAAUUGUAAGAUGGAAAAACCUGUUGGUGCAAUAGUUGUGAUCGACUGGAAUGUUACUGGAUUUCAAAUCGUAAGUGCAAUAGUGUAGAAACGGUUUUAAGAGUGCUGAGCUUUUUUAUCUUCUACUUAUGUGAACCAUGUGGGAGCUUUACAGAAGAGUGAGUACAUUUAGAUUUUCAGAGUGAAUGUGGAAUCAUGCUGCUGACUGAAAUGUUUUCCAGUUGCAUCUCAAGUUUGAAGCACUUUUAUGUCUUAGAAAAGGGACAGCUCCCCCUGCUGGACAACAUAUAUAUAUAGAGAGAGAGAGAGAUGUCUGCACUUACACGUGCCAACCACUAGAGGGCUCACAUCUGAUGUUUAGGAAUCCUGAGUGGAAUAGCCUUCGUGGUCAGGUUUGAAAUACUUGGACUAGAAUCACAAACGAUUGUUCAUAAUGUUUGUUUUUUGUUUUUAUUAACAGCAUUAGGGUGUUUGUUUUAAACGUGCAGAUCUGUGUUUUUAUGUUUAGAGAGUGGAAUUGCUCAGCUGUGAAUGGCAGGACUGAUGAGGGAUGUAACGAAUGUAAAGGAGAACUAAACUCGUCCAUCUUUACUCCUUUUUAAAAAUAAAAGUCCAAAAUUCCUUAGAUAACGUUGUUUCAGUAAAAAAAAAAAGUGCAGCUCUGUGGUUUUCAGCUUGUUUCUGUAUCCUGUGACCUGCUUUGAUCUUUUGAAAUGAUUUCAGACCGAGACCCACUAAAGCUGAAACUUAUCUCUGGUUUGUUUCCUCGCACUCCUCCCCAAAGUUUGUGCCUUUUUUUCUGUUCUGCUCUUUAUUUCUUUGGGGUGUUGAGGCCAACACAACUGUAUCUUUGUACAUAAACUCCUGCACUUUAAACUCAAUACAGUUGUUGAUGAAAAUCAAACGUCUGAGGGCUCUUCUUCCUGUUUCUGACUGUUCGCUGGCUUUUCUUCCACUUUCACUAGUUUCGUUCUUAUUUUUACUACUCUGCAUUUUUCUCUCUUAUGCUUUGAGCCACUCCGACGCUCUUAACAGGUGAUGAAACCUACCAGGACAUCUUCCAGGAUUUCACCCACAUGGCCUCGAACGACCCUGAUAAACUCAACCGCUACCAGCAGUAUGACGCGCAGAGACCCUGACCAGCGGCGCUCUGGUGAACAUCUGGAGCGUCGUCCACCCCUGAUGUGACCAAAGCUUCUCCUCAUCAAGUCGUCCGAAAGGUUUAGUAGAAAACUAAAAGCACUUGGCCGAAGAGGACGACGCCCGUAGGAACGGUACAGCCGUUGAAAAGGAUUCUUGUAAAGUUUUCAAUCCUAAAUGACAGAAUGUAAAACGCUCGUCAGACGUUUCCUGCUUUAAACGUAUGAAAUGUGUCGGAUCUGUAAAGGAAAAGCGCUCGAUCAGACUCCUAAAACGACCGUUUCCUCUGUGGGAUUUGUUUUAGUUUGUUAGAAAAAUGCCCUCUGCAGGCCUGUACAUACUUUUACUCUGGAAACAAACCUGUUAUGAUUCAUUUGUAAUUUUAGAAUUUUUUAUGCUUCUUUUUAUACGUUUUUCUGAGAAAUAAUUAAUUUUAAAUGUUAGCAUCAGCAAUUUGUGUUGAAAGAUUUUGGGAUAAUUCAGUAAGCUGUGAGUCCAUCAUUUCUAAAUUAUAUUCAGCUGAUUGAUCCUGAGGUUGAAGCAUCGUCGGUUUGUCACUAACAGCAAAAAGGAUGGCAUGAGACGGAUAGAUUAUUACAUCCUAGAGGGCGGGCGGGCGAGAGAAAGAUAGAUGGAUAGAGAGAUAGAUAGAUAGAUCCAUCAUUUCCUGUGUAGGAGGGUUUUAUUGUAGCAGCAGCCUGAUGCUUGUUGCUCUGCUCCUUACUCCAGUUUUACAUGAAUUCAUAAACCAUAAAGACACCUUUCCCUGGUAAACUGGAUGAUUUCAGCAACAGGAUGAUGUAAACAAACAAACAUUAGAUGGCCGUGCUGAAAGACCUCAAACAUUUACUGAAAUGAUGAUCUGGAUGAGCAGCAAGCAAGUUCCUCACAUGCAGUCAGCUUCAGUGGUGAAACUUCAUCUCUAAUAAGAAAUAUUAACACCUAGAUCGGCUCUUGUGCAAUAAAAUGUGACUUUUCUGUUAAAACUUCAUUUUUAGCACAAAUUUAAAGACAAGUGGUUCGGCUAACACCAUGUGGGAUACAAUUCUUGUACGUUCUGUACUGAUGCUUUCAAACUCUGGAUCCGACUGAAGGAUGAAGUUAGUGGUACUUGAAUCAUUCAAUAAGCUUUUGUAAAUGCUGUUCUUUGUAUCUUUUGAUAAUUAUAGCCUGUUUUAUAUGUAUACCACUAUACAUGUACUGUAUAAUGCACCUGUAAUGUUUAAGGACUUAAAUACAGAGGGACGACACUCUUCUGA
Molecule: non-coding RNA, 6178 nt
Organism: Nothobranchius furzeri (turquoise killifish)
Lineage: Eukaryota; Metazoa; Chordata; Actinopteri; Cyprinodontiformes; Nothobranchiidae
Source: RefSeq, a predicted model, not a curated record